This 326-nucleotide ribosomal RNA is filed under the name uncultured eukaryote. RNAcentral's name for it is "partial 18S ribosomal RNA". It matches the Rfam family "Eukaryotic small subunit ribosomal RNA", at positions 1470 to 1796 of the family's 1831-position model. The record is from RNAcentral.
CCCUUAGAUGUUCUGGGCUGCACGCGCGCUACACUGAUGCGCUCAACGAGUUUACGACCUUGCCCGGAAGGGUUGGGUAAUCUUUUCAAAACGCAUCGUGAUGGGGAUAGAUUAUUGCAAUUAUUAAUCUUCAACGAGGAAUUCCUAGUAAGCGCGAGUCAUCAGCUCGUGCUGAUUACGUCCCUGCCCUUUGUACACACCGCCCGUCGCUCCUACCGAUUGAGUGCUCAGGUGAAUAAUUCGGACUGCAGCAAUGUUUGGAUCCCGAACGUUGCAGCGGAAAGUUUAGUGAACCUUAUCACUUAGAGGAAGGAGAAGUCGUAACA